ACAACAGAAACCCCUACGCCCAUCCCGCCACUUGGUUCGUCCCGGAACCUUCUUUAGUCAGUGUUUGUUUCCCCCCGAGGACCUUUUGGCCAAACACACUGGAGCGGACACAGGACGAAACAGCAUGGGUGGAGCCGAGGACCGACCAGCAUCUGCCAGACGACAUUCCAAAUACUACGGUUUAAUCAUUUAACAACUACUACAUCAAUAAAUAGUAUAGAUUAUAUAAAAAUGUGCAAAUAGGCCAUGUCAAACUGUACUGUGCAAAUCAUGCUAAUAAAGUGCAAACUGUUCACUAAA
Molecule: long non-coding RNA, 300 nt
Organism: Gymnodraco acuticeps
Lineage: Eukaryota; Metazoa; Chordata; Actinopteri; Perciformes; Bathydraconidae
Exons: 2
Source: RefSeq, a predicted model, not a curated record